AGGAGAGAGAGAGAAAAAAAAGACAACAUUCCUAGUGAUCUUUCCGUGGGACUGCGGCAAGGAGGCAGCAGGCACAGUGAAACUGGGCGGCGAUGGAUACUCCCAGCACUUGCUGAGCACUGCUACGCCUCAGGACUGGGACAGAGAGAACCAUUCUCUGCUUUCAAUAGGACAGAAGAGCUCCUUGGCACUGGAUGCCUCCGGGUCUGGUUGAGAGAGGAAUGGUUAGGAGACUGUUCUGAGGAUACGCAGACAUCAUCCAAAGCUUCCUACAUUCAGAUGAGGACAGAGGUUGGGCCAGAGCUUUGUAUGCUUGUUACCUAAGGAUGGUUCUGACCAUGUAAGCAGAUCACAGAAGCUAUUCACAGAUCAUCAUCAGCCAGAGGUGACUUCUGUUGCUUGCAGCUCAGAAUCCUAGAUGUUUCUGGUGGCACUGAAGAGCCUCUGCUGAAGCUCUAUACCAUUUGCCAUUUACAAAGGGAAAUGAAAUAAUAACGCUGACCAUUUGUGGAGCACAUUCUGUCUGGAGGCAAAGGAUGCCAAGAUGGGAAAGCCACAUAAUGGAAGGAUCCUGGAUUUCAGAGCUGUCACUUGGAGGAGGGGCACCCAGUGAAGGUGUCUUAUCUAACCCACACCAUAUCUUCAUGAAGUGGCCAUAUGGAUUUGAUCCCUAUCCUUCAGAGGUGCUCAGCCUAAGGGAACACGGAUAGUAGAUUAAGCACUGACCAGAGCCAGCCUUGACAAUGUGCUGUUGGCAACCU
RNAcentral lists this non-coding RNA (761 nucleotides) under Pan troglodytes (chimpanzee). The record is from RNAcentral. Lineage: Eukaryota; Metazoa; Chordata; Mammalia; Primates; Hominidae.